Mus caroli (Ryukyu mouse) is the source of this 2323-nucleotide non-coding RNA. NCBI's taxonomy places the organism in Eukaryota, Metazoa, Chordata, Mammalia, Rodentia, Muridae. The record is from RefSeq and is a predicted model, not a curated record.
GAGUAGGCUUGGAGGUGGGGAGGCGGGUUCUCAUGCCGUGCUAUGGUACCUUCAGGAGAUGAUCUUGGCAUGAUUUGUCUUGACUCAGACCUGGGCAACUCAUCACACUGGCACUGUGGGACUCUCCAGCUCCCAUUGCAGGCUGGUCAUGGGACUGGUGUAACACCCCCCCCCCCAAACUCCUCAGUUAGAUCAUGCUUUAAAGGAGAAACCAGAUUUAUUGGCCUAACUCAAUCUUAGUCCUCUCUGGAUGCAGGACAGCUGUCGGCUAGCAGGGACACAACCAGCCAUCAAGUGGAGAGUCGUUGGGACUUUGGUCUGUGUGCAGGUGGAGCCUGGAAGACUGACAGUCUAAUUUCGGUCAUCUAAUGACUUCUUAUUUUCCUAACUAAUUGUGCUUGCUAAGCACACAAUGGUCUGGAUUAGUCUUGGAGCCUUCAUCAAGUUGGGCUGCAAAUCAGGAUGCCAGCAAGCCUGCAAUAGCCUUGGCUCCCUCCUGUGUGAUGCUAUGCUAAUUCCCAGGAUGGGUCACUCUGACAACAAAAAAGGACGCUUGACUUCUCUUGUGAUGCUAGAAGAGCAUAAUUCUUUUUUGCAGCGAUUCUCUCUCUCUCUCUCUCUCUGUGUGUGUGUGUGUGUGUAUGUGUGUGUGUGUAAAAUUCAUCAAACCAAAGAGCCUAAGAGAUAUCAUUGUGGAUGUGGCUUUUAAUGAUUUGCGGGAGAAAAAGAAAAAGAAAAAUGACAGCCUGUGGAGACGCCGAUUGGAGAAAGCAGCACACUGUGGUUAUUGCCAAUUUGAAAUACUGGGUUUGUGAAGCCAAGCCCUAAGGGAGUAGCCGGGUAACUGAGAAAGAGAUCGUAGAUAAAGAAAUAAAAAUGACAAGCGUAAUGGAGGCUGUGCGAAGGGACUGUCAGCGCAUCCGUUCAUGGAUGGCAAUCUUGCCAGGCAGAGAUUGAAUAAUUCAUAGAUGGAAACUACCCUGCCUUCACCUUCCCAUUUAAACCGGGCAUGAGCUGAAUCUCUAAUAAAUUUUUAGAAGAUAAAGUAAAAUGCCAAUUUGAAUCUGAAGAGCUUUUAAAAGCAGAUGUCGCAUCCCCCCGAAUCGUUCAGUAUCUUUCACAAUUACACUCUGAGGACUGCACUUCAUCAGGAAGCACCGUCACCAGGGAAAAUGACUGUGAUUACAAUAGCAACAAUAGAAUGCCAUCGAAUGAUCUCUAAUUUACCUAAUUUGCUAAGACUGACUGGCUUAAAUACCCAUUGUGUGUUGCUGGUGCCCUGUCCUUGGAUCUCUCUCAAGACAGAACAAAAGUGGUGUACUGUGUGGGCUACCUUGGUUCACACAGUCUGGCAGAGAUCGGUCUUCUAAGUUACAAUGUCUCUUUCAUCGGCUUUUCAUCUUUGUAUUUUUUUUAUAUUUUUACUUUUUUCCUAAUGCUUUGUCCUAAAUGCCUUUUGAGGGAAAAUGGCAAGCAGUGACUUGUUAAUUUAUACACUUCUUAAAUUUUAAAAUAUACAGGCAUGGGUCUAUUUGAGGAGAGGGCAGAUUUGGUGCUGGGAGAAAGGUUUAACAAGCCAGCUGGGAUGGGGUGUGUGUGCAUACGCAUGUCGUGCUCGUGCAUGAGUGCGUGCAUGUGCGUGUGUUGUGUUGUGUUGUGUUUCCUCCAUAGAAAUUCUUUUCCUGGAUUUGUGAUCCCUGUGGAAUAUUAAGAACCUCUCCGAUUGAAUCUCAGGGAGGAACCGGAGGUAUGUAUGACAACUGUUUGAGAAGAAGGUCCCAAAUCCCUCUCUUAAAACCUUGGGAUUGUGCUUGAGACUCAGCCCCGAUGUGUUCCGUGGUAAUUCACUCACCUGGUUUACCCACACUGUAUGCUCCCCCUACCUGCCCCUACCUUGUCAUAAGUGCUGAGGGUUGAACCCAGGGCCUCGUUGCAUGUCAGGUGCUGGGAACAUUAAAUCUUCAUGUCCCGAGGACAAGAAAAUUAAAAGUACUCAUUGUUCAGUAGCUACUGAGGCUGAUGAGAGGCGGGACUGUGGAUUCACGUGACUGACGAUGACUGGUCUUCCUGGCCAUAUUACUUUCUCUUUCUUUUAUCAAGUACAGACAUGGCACCUACCUGGAGUGGUGGUAUGAGUGCCCAAUCUCAAGGAAACAACCUAGGCCACCUGUUCCCAUUUUUUUUAUUGCUGUUGUUACAUGUGUAUAUGUGACAUAUGUGCGUGUAUGUUCAUGUGUUUGUGGGUACACAUUGUAUGCGGGUGUGUGUGGAUAUGUCUCUACGUGGCCAUUGAAGAAAUUAAAACAGGAAGACUCGAUUGUUA